ACUCCACCUAUUCCCCUCUGGCCUCUCUCCCUCCCUCGCCAGAUCCCCCACUCGACCUAACUUUGCCUUGCUCCGCCCCAACCGUACGCCGCCGCCCCGCCUUGCUCUGCCCCCUCCGUUCGCGGCGCCUGCACGCCGUCGGCGAUGCCGCCGCCUCUCCUUCCCUGCCUUCUUCUCCCCUCUCCUUCCCUGCGACUGCGAUUGCGACCAGCCAUGAAGAAGCCGCCCGUCCAGGCCUAGAUCGAGCACCCCGCCUCCUCGCCGAGUCCAUCGCGCACGGCCGUGGGAGUCAGGAAAACCGAGAUCCCCGCCGCCUGCUUGUACGACGGCGCAGCCAUCCCGCGCUCCUUGGCUCCCGCUUCGACUCCCACAAGGUCGCCCACCUCUCCCCGCAGUGUUCUCAAGUAUAACAACAUAGUGGGAUCAUUUGUCAACAUAGUGGUAUCAUUUUGCAGAUUCCAGCAAACAACAUAGUGGGAUCAUUUGUCAAGGCCAACAUCAGAGGUCUAAUUUACAAGUAUAAAUAGAUAAAAGAUUCAGAGAGUAGCUCUUUUCUUACCAGCAUCAUGAAGGUUGGGAAUAUCUUUGUAGAAAACAAAAAGAUUAGGAAACUGAAUCUAAGGACCAGGGCAAAACCUCUGUACUUUACUGUCUUUAACAUGGUAUAAAAUACCUGAAUUGAAUUUUUUAAUAGAGUAGUGAAGUGUUCACGAUCAAACAAUCCAAAAAAGAUUCACCCUGCAAUUUUGUGUUUAACAGAAACCAAAACUCAAUACUCAAGAGAACA
This is a long non-coding RNA of Triticum aestivum (bread wheat), 787 nucleotides long. RefSeq lists it as uncharacterized. Lineage: Eukaryota; Viridiplantae; Streptophyta; Magnoliopsida; Poales; Poaceae. The record is from RefSeq and is a predicted model, not a curated record. The transcript is spliced from 2 exons.